Mastomys coucha (southern multimammate mouse) is the source of this 547-nucleotide RNA transcript. It is a transcript of the gene named protein mono-ADP-ribosyltransferase PARP12 pseudogene, with no coding region annotated. The transcript has a single exon. Lineage: Eukaryota; Metazoa; Chordata; Mammalia; Rodentia; Muridae. The record is from RefSeq and is a predicted model, not a curated record.
AUGCCUUUCUACUUUACUCAGAAGAUCGAGCAGAUCCAGAACCUGGGCCUGUGGGAAGUCUAUCAUUGGCAGAAAGGCCAGACGCAGAAGCAGAAUGAGGGGAAGGAAGUGGAUGAGAGGCAGCUGUUUCACGGCACUAGCACCAGCUUCGUGGAUGCCAUCUGCCAGCAGAACUUUGACUGGCGGGUCUGUGGUCUGCAUGGCACGUCCUAUGGCAAAGGAAGCUACUUUGCGAGAGAUGCGGCCUAUUCGCACCACUACAGUAAAUCCGACACACACUCCCACACCAUGUUCCUGGCCCGGGUGCUGGUUGGAGACUUCGUCAGGGGCAGCACUUCCUUUGUCCACCCUCCGGCCGAGGAAGGCCAGAGCAAUGCCUUCUAUGACAGCUGUGUGAACAGCAUGUCCGACCCAACCAUCUUUGUAGUUUUUUGAGAAGCACCAGGUCUACCCUGAGUACCUCAUCCAAUAUUCUACCUCCUCCAAGCCCCCGGCUGGCCUUUCCAUUUUUGUUGCCCUAGGCAACUUGUUCACCAGCCGACGGUAA